GGUUCCAGGGAGGUUCUGAGAACGUCUUACUAUGGAUCCAGGGAGGUUCUGAGAACGUCUUUCUAUGGUUCCAGGGAGGUUCUGAGAACGUCUAACUAUGGUUCCCUGAAAGUUUUGAUGGGAGGAUUUAUUAACGCUCAGAGAAUACACAUUUUCAUUUGGAGGUUUUUGAGUGUCCCCACAAUAGCUAUCUUUUCACGUGGCAGCGACUGGUAAGACGAUUUAGGAGGGAGGUUAGCAAGGCAGAGGUACUCGUCAAGCAAG
Oncorhynchus tshawytscha (Chinook salmon) is the source of this 264-nucleotide long non-coding RNA. The record is from Ensembl. Lineage: Eukaryota; Metazoa; Chordata; Actinopteri; Salmoniformes; Salmonidae.